CGGAUAAAGACACAAAGCGCGCCAAACAUUCUAUAGGGCGUAAAAGCACACCUCCUACCCAUCAACCCCAUGGGUGAGAGAACAGUCCCUAAGUGAUCACCACGAUAUCAAUAUCUGAUCAGGACCCACUACCACUCAACACACCGAUCCCAUUAAAUAAAAUAGAUAUCAUUUAAUGAGUUGUUCACUUGUUAUUAGCGUGAUUCCAUUCACUAGGCCUGUGAAAUCUGUGUAUCAUUCGUUUAUCAUUAUGUAACAAAAUCAUGAAAAACGGAAGAAAAAAAAAAAAAACACUAAUUAUUUGAUAUUUGUUUCCAAAAGCAAAAUGAAAAAACGGAAAACCUUCCUCCUUUAACGGGAAACUUCCUGUGUUUUUCCCCUUGGGUGGUUCUCACAGCUGGUUUUCAGAACAAAGACGUGUUAGAACCAAACACAGCGUUAAAGUUCCCCAUGGAUGUGGACUCUCUGCUCCACCCCCCGCUGAUGAUGUCACACACACGCGUCAAAAAACCCAUCAGCCAAUCAGAAGACCAGUUACAUCAACAGAACUAUCCUUUCAUCUGAUUGGCUGCUGCUCAUAGAACAUAACGCUUUGAUAAUUUCGAACCAAAUAUUUCAGUUUAUCUGUAGAAUCACUGGAGCCACACAGGAAACAUGAAGUUUGACCAAGAACAGAUUAUAAAGAGCGUACAGGCCUUAAUCUCUGAGAAAUACAAAGAUGGACCAAUCAUACAGCCCUCAUCGUGCUACACAGCAGUGGUGGUGGAAGUGGUCCUCAGAGAAGCCUGGACUAGUGGAGGUUCUCUGAUGAACCAGGAGUGCUCUGAGGACCAACCUUUGGAGCAUCUGCAUCUCCAACAGAACCACUCUCAUUACUUCAUAGUCAAGGUUCCAGACAGUGAAGCCCCGGAGAUGGUUGAGGUGGAGACAGAGAAUGAGGAGGGGCUCCAGACAAGAAGGGGCUGCAAAAGGAAGGCUGGAGAUCACAACGUUGGAAAGCCAAAGAGAAAGAAAGUGAAGGUUGAGGAGGGGCUUCAGACAAGAAGGGGCUGCAAAAGGAAGGCUGGAGAUCACAACGUCCGAACGCCAAAUAAAAAGAAAGUGAAGGUUGAGGAGGGGCUUCAGACAAGAGAACCUUUUAUCAGAAACAAAGAGUACUUUGAAGCCACUUAUAAGGAGCUGAAGGUACUAGGUUGUGGUGGUUUUGGGAGUGUUUUCAAAGCUGUUCGUCUGUCUGACUCCAAACCUGUAAGUUUAGACACACAGUGACUCCAGGCUUUAAAAAGCAUCAACGCUGUCAUUACAUGCUGGUUUUUAUGUCCUGCAGGUAGCGAUAAAGCACAUUCCACGGGACAAUGUGUCAUAUGUGUCGAUGAAUAACCUGAAUCAAUGUACGUCAGGCGCUUAUGAGGUGCUGCUGAUGAAGAAAGCGGCUGGUGGGUGUGGCCAAAACAGCCUGCUGAACCCCGCCAUCAUUGGCUUUGAGGAGGCCAUUGAACUUGACGAUGAGUUGUUGAUCGUCAUGGAACAUGUUGAGGAUGCCGUGGAUCUCGAGGACUUUGUCACGUCAGCAACUGAACCAAUGCUGGAACAUGACGCCAAGAGCAUCAUUAAACAAGUCCUCGAUGCAGCCGUCAUCAUGCAGCACAACAACGUGUUCCACAGCGAUAUAAAACGUGACAACAUCCUGGUUUCAUUCAAAGAUGAACGACCAUCUGUGAAGAUCAUCGACUUUGGCUGUGCUAAUUUUAUCUAUGGCAUGCCCUAUGACUCCUUCUCAGGAGCAUUAGUAUUUGCUUCACCAGAGGUUUGGUUUCAUCGUGACUAUGAGGCAGAACCAACCACGGUGUGGCAGAUCGGACUCCUUCUGUCUAAUCUAUUCAGGGCUCACUUCUAUCAAACAUAUGACCACGUCAUUAAUUCAUCAUUUACACUAAACAACCUUUCACAUCAAGGAAAUGACUUUAUGAGUCGGUGCAUGAAGGUGUCGCCCAAACUUCGACCAAGCUUGAAGGACCUGCAGCGCCACCCAUGGUUCAAUGAUUUAACACCUCCAUGAGGAACGCUACCCUUCCACACCACUGUCUGUGUGCACCAUGGGGACAAAUGUACAUUGAAAACUAUGAUGCACAGAAAACCUUCAGCC
This 2146-nucleotide long non-coding RNA is filed under the name Gouania willdenowi (blunt-snouted clingfish). RNAcentral's name for it is "lncRNA (ENSGWIG00000013902.1)". Lineage: Eukaryota; Metazoa; Chordata; Actinopteri; Blenniiformes; Gobiesocidae. The record is from RNAcentral.